Long non-coding RNA from Psammomys obesus (fat sand rat), 3671 nucleotides. RefSeq lists it as uncharacterized. The transcript is spliced from 3 exons. NCBI's taxonomy places the organism in Eukaryota, Metazoa, Chordata, Mammalia, Rodentia, Muridae. The record is from RefSeq and is a predicted model, not a curated record.
UGUCCGUCAGCAGCCUCCCUUACAAGCUUUUUUCCUCUCCCUCUCCUUUUUUUCUCCCCUUGCCUUCUUCUUCAGUGAAGCCUAGGGGAGCCAGUAAAGAUUAAAUGUGCUUUCUCAAAGGCAGCCACUUCAUGCUGCUAUGUCGAAAGGGCUAUUAUUAAUAAUAAUAUGAGAGAGGGAGAGAGAGAGACUAGGUGUGAUGAUGACGGUCUAGCUUUUUGGAGAGGAAAGGGGAGAGAAAAAAGGAGAGACCGCGAGCUGAACAGAGGACUGUGUGUGAGCAGAACCUACAGAGUCUGCACAGGAAAGCGCGGCUUCCAGGCAGAGGAGGUUCAAGAAAGCGACUCUAUCAGGUACAGCGCUAGUAGCUGUCUGUGAAGAUGGAGGGGGAUUAUGCCUCGGAUGCCUCUGAAAUAUUGGCCAAAGGCUUCAAAGGAUCCGCAGAGGGAGGCGAGGGUGGGGGGAGCAUUUCCCCAGCUCUCACCCACCCUUCCCACUUUGCGUCUACCAAAUGACAGGCUGGAGCUCGCUCUGGGUGAUUUUGGCCUUGGCCUCAGCCAAGCAGCUGAUGCAGAGAAGGAGGGCCCGGUUUGCAAGAGUGACAGAACUCCGCAUGCUAGAGGGGGGGAAAAAAGAAAGAAAAGAAAAAUAAUUUUUGUUUCUCAAGCAGUCCUUGGGAAAAUUUCUCGUUUUCUCUCGGUUUAUUUAUUUAUCAUUAAUUUUUUUAACCGACUAUUUUCCAAAUUUGAUCAGCCCCAGCCCCUCCCUCUACUCCCACCCAAAUGCCUCCUCCUACCCCCCAGCCCCCACCCCCGGUCAAAGCAUAAACCAGAGAGUUACGGUCUUCUCUCGAUUUUGGAGUAUCGCUUCCUGCCCCCGCCUUCCCUCCCCGCCCCAUUCUCUGUCCUAUUGAACACCUCGCCCAGCCUAGCGCACUGCGAACUCACAUUCCCCCCUGGCUCCGGAUGGCGCUCCUGGAGGCUCUGCAAGCCCGGCUCCGCUUCAAAUGGUUGUACUGAUGUUCCUUUCAGCUGGUCCUAUAGCCCCCUUCCUCAGGAAUGUCUCCCCAAUGAAAAGACAGAGCCUGCAGAGACUGCUAGCCUGAUGGACGCUCUUGCCAACUGUGAAGUUGAAACAAAACAAGUGGCCACCUGAGGAGACCCUUCCUGCCCAGCAGCCACCCACAGGGGGCAGUUGCAGCCAAUAGUAGUCUUUGCAAGAAGCAGAGAAAACCCACAACACUCAUGCGUAACAAACUUCCCCUUCCUUGUGUGUACUCCUCUGUGUGUGUUCGGAUUCACCUGCCGUCCUUUCUGAUCUCAGUAUGGGUAUGCUUGUUGGUGACCAAAUGCAUUAAUGCAUGAGGACAGCGGAUUGUCUGGGGGAGCGACUUUCCCCAACACAUAGUGAUUGCUCCUGAGAGUGAUCUAGAAAGUGAAAACACUUGGGAAAGACAGCAAAGCAGUCACAGGCAAUGUUCAGAGACCCAUUCAGAGCACCACACAGAAACACCACGUCAUGCCCCCAGACUCUGUGCAGCAAGCUUGACUCUAUGACAUAUAUGACAUACAGCAGCUGCUGCUGGGGGUGGAACUCAAGGUAGGCAAAGGUGCAUGAGCUAUGUAAAAUGUAGUGAUAAACUGAGUCAGUAGACAACAAGAACAGAAACAACACAAAAGACAAUGUGCUUGGAGGAGGCCAAAUUGGUUUGCUUAAGGAAGAACGGUCUCCUUAAGAGAAAAUAAGAAAUAAACCUUGAAGGUUCUAAACAAACAAACAAAGAAAUAAAACAACAACAACAAAGAAACCAAACAAAUAGCUAAAUGGGAAGGUAGAAGAAAAGAGUCCUUGAGGUGAGCACAAUGGUAAGCAUGGCAGGGGAAAUCCACUCAGUGAGUUUUGGAGAUUACAAACACUCAUCUCAACUUGAUGUCACCUCAUACUCUGCACCCCUCUCUGUGUGUCUAGUAGAGAUGGUGCACACACAUAUGUUCCCUCUCCCACUGCAGACGUCACCUAAACUCAGCUAAAGUUCCAGUUCCCUGUCACCGGUGGUACCUGUGUAGAACUGGUGACUCUUCUGUUCAUGCUUGCUAGUUACCAAGUUUAUCCCAUAUAGGAAGUGUUUUGCAUAUGACAUCUCAUGACAACUAUGAAAACUACACAGGAUAAAACCCAUUUUGAUUAGGUUAAGUGCCUGGCAGAAGUGCUAUGUGCAGCGAUGCAUAUUCAAGGUUAUGGUCACAAAACUCAUGAGUUGAAGCCCCAUUUUGUGGCCGGUUCCAACACUGUUGUUACCUUCCUCACAACCCUAAAACCUGUCUGUGGGAACAAACAGCUCUUCUGCUUUCCUAUUACCUCAGUCUUUCCCACUUUCACAGCUGAAUAGGACCAGAAUGAUUAAAUGUAUUUUCCUGGGAGAAAAUUGAGAAUUUGUUGAAGCAGAACCGGCCAACAGUUUACACAUUUUCUUUUGAUUUGGGUCUGACACAAGACUUCUGAUUUAGUUCUUCCCGAAAUCUCAAAGUUUUAAGAGCAGUAAGGGAAGGGCCUUAAGUUACCUGUUACAACAUUUUUUGACAGAAAAUGUAAAUCUACAGCGUAUAUUCAGAGUGACUUACAAAACAAACAAAGCAACAACCAACUACCCCAACCGAACAACCAACCAACCAACCAACCAACCAACCAAACAAACAAACAAACAAACAAACCAUCACAUAUUUGGAAGUGUUCCAACAAGGACCAGAAACUAAGCCCUCAGUUAUCUUUCAACGGCUUUUAAAUUGCUCUACCCUGUCCUAAAGUAAAAUAAACCUGUAUUUGAUUAAAAGAAGUAAUGCUGCAUAGACUGAAUCUAGUACUUUUCUCCAUUCCUUCCCUCUUUGGCAUUUCACGUCAAUGUUAAAUACAGCUAUAACUAGUGUAUUUAGGUCAAGAAAUUGUCAAUGCUCUGCCCCCCCCCCCCAAAACACAGAAGAGCCAAUGUUGUAUGUAUUCUAUAACUUAAAUGAUAUCUCCAAUCAUGAAGUCAUUAGCUCACCUGCAUGGAUCUAGUCUUCUAUUGUACAGCUUUUUAACUAAUUCAACCAAUGGCAAACAUCUGCAAAUGCUAUCAAUGUUUAUCCAUGACUGUUUCAGAAGUACUUAAGUAUUAACAAAUACUACUAGUCACUUUGUGUUGUGAUCUUCAUUUAUCCAUGUGACUAAUUCAAGAAUACUUUGUCCAUAAAAACUUAGAACUGAAAUUCCCAUUCUUACUUCCAGCCACUUUGCAUUUGAAUGCUAUUUAGCAGUGAUUGGUAAAGUGAUCAUCUAGAUAACAUAGAUGUCCAAAUUAUGAUUUUUGUCUUGAAGGAGACAGUCAAGUUGUCUGCUAAGGGACAGAUGUCUAUCUUUUUAAGAUACCUGAAUAUUUAACUGAUGUAACUUUCUGCUUAGCUGUUUGACAUUGUCAUAUGUAGUCCUGGUCAUGGCUCUGGCUGUCUUGUUUUUGUUUGUUUGUUUGCUUUUUUUUUUCUUUCAAAAUGCUUCAUGGCUCUGCCUUAUACUGUUUUCACUGAGUUCAUAAAUAAACAGGUUUGUUGUUAAAAAGUAGCCCAAGCACAAAGUGUGACUUUGUUGACAUUUUCCAAGACUCUCCUUGGUCCCUGACUCCCAAUAAAAGAAAUGUU